This 881-nucleotide ribosomal RNA is filed under the name Didymella coffeae-arabicae. Its description in RNAcentral is "partial large subunit ribosomal RNA". It matches the Rfam family "Eukaryotic large subunit ribosomal RNA", at positions 68 to 967 of the family's 3401-position model. Lineage: Eukaryota; Fungi; Ascomycota; Dothideomycetes; Pleosporales; Didymellaceae. The record is from RNAcentral.
ACAGGGAUUGCCCUAGUAACGGCGAGUGAAGCGGCAACAGCUCAAAUUUGAAAUCUGGCGUCUUCGGCGUCCGAGUUGUAAUUUGCAGAGGGCGCUUUGGCAUUGGCAGCGGUCCAAGUUCCUUGGAACAGGACGUCACAGAGGGUGAGAAUCCCGUACGUGGUCGCUAGCCUUUACCGUGUAAAGCCCCUUCGACGAGUCGAGUUGUUUGGGAAUGCAGCUCUAAAUGGGAGGUAAAUUUCUUCUAAAGCUAAAUACUGGCCAGAGACCGAUAGCGCACAAGUAGAGUGAUCGAAAGAUGAAAAGCACUUUGGAAAGAGAGUUAAAAAGCACGUGAAAUUGUUGAAAGGGAAGCGCUUGCAGCCAGACUUGCCUGUAGUUGCUCAUCCGGGUUUCUACCCGGUGCACUCUUCUAUAGGCAGGCCAGCAUCAGUUUGGGCGGUUGGAUAAAGGUCUCUGUCAUGUACCUCUCUUCGGGGAGAACUUAUAGGGGAGACGACAUGCAACCAGCCUGGACUGAGGUCCGCGCAUCUGCUAGGAUGCUGGCGUAAUGGCUGUAAGCGGCCCGUCUUGAAACACGGACCAAGGAGUCUAACAUCUAUGCGAGUGUUUGGGUGUCAAGCCCGAGCGCGUAAUGAAAGUGAACGGAGGUGGGAACCUUUCGGGGUGCACCAUCGACCGAUCCUGAUGUCUUCGGAUGGAUUUGAGUAAGAGCAUAGCUGUUGGGACCCGAAAGAUGGUGAACUAUGCUUGAAUAGGGUGAAGCCAGAGGAAACUCUGGUGGAGGCUCGCAGCGGUUCUGACGUGCAAAUCGAUCGUCAAAUUUGGGCAUAGGGGCGAAAGACUAAUCGAACUAUCUAGUAGCUGGUUCCUGCCGAGUC